This 254-nucleotide ribosomal RNA is filed under the name uncultured bacterium. Its description in RNAcentral is "partial 16S ribosomal RNA". It matches the Rfam family "Bacterial small subunit ribosomal RNA", at positions 524 to 776 of the family's 1533-position model. The record is from RNAcentral.
UACGUAGGGCGCAAGCGUUGUCCGGAAUUAUUGGGCGUAAAGAGCUCGUAGGCGGUGUGUCGCGUCGGCCGUGAAAACCUGCAGCUUAACUGUGGGCUUGCGGUCGAUACGGGCAUCACUGGAGUUCGGCAGGGGAGACUGGAAUUCCUGGUGUAGCGGCGAAAUGCGCAGAUAUCAGGAGGAACACCGGUGGCGAAGGCGGGUCUCUGGGCCGAUACUGACGCUGAGGAGCGAAAGCGUGGGGAGCGAACAGG